Molecule: ribosomal RNA, 566 nt
Filed under: Leucosporidium escuderoi
Lineage: Eukaryota; Fungi; Basidiomycota; Microbotryomycetes; Leucosporidiales; Leucosporidiaceae
Description: eukaryotic LSU rRNA
Rfam family: 5.8S ribosomal RNA (bases 159-312)
Source: RNAcentral
AAGGAUCAUUAGUGAAUAUUAGCGCAUCUCUUCGGAGAGCGUGACCUCCACUUUCUAACUCUGUGCAUUUAUUGGCGGAAGAACUUGAGCAAUCGAGUACUUCUGCGGCUCAUUUAUAACACUAGUUAAAGUAUGUAACGAAAUAUCGAAACAAAAAAAACUUUCAACAACGGAUCUCUUGGCUUGCUCAUCGAUGAAGAACGCAGCGAAAUGUGAUAAGUAAUGUGAAUUGCAGAAUUCAGUGAAUCAUCGAAUCUUUGAACGCACCUUGCGCUCCCUGGUAUUCCGGGGAGCAUGUCUGUUUGAGUGUCAUGAACUCUUCAACCCACCAGUUUCUUGUAGACUGAUUGGUGUUUGGAUUUUGAGCGUUGCUGGUCUUCGGAUCUAGCUCGUUCGUAAUAUAUUAGCAUCUCUAAUUCGAACUCGGAUUGACUCAGUGUAAUAGACUAUUCGCUGAGGACACGCUCUUGUAGUGUGGCCGAAUGAGAUCUCAGUAGAAGCUUCCAACUACUUUAGUCAACUUUAGAUUAGACCUCAGAUCAGGCAGGAUUACCCGCUGAACUUAA